GUGCCAGCAGCCGCGGUAAUACGAAGGGGGCUAGCGUUGUUCGGAAUUACUGGGCGUAAAGCGCACGUAGGCGGAUAUUUAAGUCAGGGGUGAAAUCCCAGAGCUCAACUCUGGAACUGCCUUUGAUACUGGGUAUCUCGAGUAUGGAAGAGGUGAGUGGAAUUGCGAGUGUAGAGGUGAAAUUCGUAGAUAUUCGCAGGAACACCAGUGGCGAAGGCGGCUCACUGGUCCAUUACUGACGCUGAGGUGCGAAAGCGUGGGGAGCAAACAGGAUUAGAUAC
This 281-nucleotide ribosomal RNA is filed under the name uncultured Hyphomicrobiales bacterium. RNAcentral's name for it is "uncultured Rhizobiales bacterium partial 16S ribosomal RNA". It matches the Rfam family "Bacterial small subunit ribosomal RNA", at positions 505 to 785 of the family's 1533-position model. The record is from RNAcentral. Lineage: Bacteria; Pseudomonadati; Pseudomonadota; Alphaproteobacteria; Hyphomicrobiales.